CCCUCUUUUUCCCGCUUUCUUCGGAAUUAUUGGGCGUAAAGGGCGCGUAGGCGGCUUUGCAAGUGACGGGUGAAAUCCCUCGGCUUAACCGAGGAACUGCCUGUCAAACUGCAUGGCUUGAGACCGGGAGAGGUGAGUGGAAUUCCCAGUGUAGCGGUGAAAUGCGUAGAUAUUGGGAGGAACACCAGUGGCGAAGGCGGCUCACUGGACCGGUACUGACGCUGAUGCGCGAAAGCGUGGGGAGCAAACAGGA
RNAcentral lists this ribosomal RNA (253 nucleotides) under uncultured prokaryote. Its description in RNAcentral is "partial 16S ribosomal RNA". It matches the Rfam family "Bacterial small subunit ribosomal RNA", at positions 547 to 777 of the family's 1533-position model. The record is from RNAcentral.